GAGGUCACGUGGCUUUCAGGGAGUUGAGCGUCUGAAGUCCAUGGGUGGAGGUGGGGUGGGGUUACACCGAGAGAAAAGACAUGGGCAGACACCUCCUUCAGAGCAUGUAGAGUAACCGUAAGAAUCUAAGCCAAAGAUGAUCCAGGCUGAGUGUGAGAUCUGACGCUGGCAUGGUGGCACCAUUCAUCAUGACUGAAUUUCACGAUUUGAGAGGAAUGAGACAAGAUAUACUAGGUCCAUGGCAGAGGAACUGGUAUCACUGCCCCAAUUUCACAGACGGGAGGAUAGUGUUGGAGAGUGUAAGCGAUCUGCCCAUGUCACACAGCAAGUAAGUGGCAAAGGUGAAAUGUAAAUCCAGCAAUCUAUUGAGUUACAUGGAGAUGGAUAUUUAUCUAUUCGCCAAGUUGCCUUAUUCCCUGGGCAGAAAACAACAAGCAGUUAAGAGAAACUGUUCAUUGCAACUGAUUGAUCUAAACAUGGGCAUGUGAGACUACCAUUCAGUCACAUGGAUGUAAACUACCACGAUCAACAGCUAGAAGGAGAGACAGUGGGAUGUCAUUCUAAGCCUUUCCCUAUUUUAAAAUGCUUAGCCCGGGUGCACUGCUGUGAGAGGAGCAGGCCUAGGAACCGCACAGGGGAGGACAAGGGCUCCUCAGCUCCUGGUACACACCUGUGCACUGUUCCACGUUGGCGAGCUUCCACAUGGUGAGCUUCUCGCUGUGGUCAGGCUGGCUGGGGUAGCCGGGGGCCGGGCGGAUGCCUUCGUAGCGCAGCCUCCGCAGGUCCACAACAUCCAGCUGCUCACAGCUGCAGUACGCCCACAGCUCCCUGCGGACCCGCUCGUGGAGCUCCUCCGCAAAGGCCUGCAGCCCAGGACAAGGUGUGCGUGGGCUGCGGUGCUCCCCCAACCCAAACCCCACUGGCCAUCAGACCCCGCUGGAGCACCCCCCUCGCCUGAACCACAGCCAGGAGGAACUGGGCACAAGGGGUCGGACUGGGUUCCUGACUCGCCUGUGGCUCUGUUGGCUGCUCUCUGCCCACUUGUGGCCUCACAGCCUGGGCUCUGACGUGGCCUACUCAAUGAUCUGAGGACUUGAGGACUGUGAACUGAAACAGUUCCCUGCUCGUGGCCAUGAGGAGAAGCUGGGAUGAUUAUAGCUGCCAGCUCCUCCUGCUUGGCCUCAGGAAAAGGAGAGGCGAUCUCCCCAUGGCUUAGAUGACCCUGGCCACGACACAGGAAGAUGAGCAAUCUAUGGAGGACAGCAAAUGGGAACAAGGAGCCUGGAAAUAGAAAUGUGCUCUGAUUUUUCCAGGUUCUUCAGGAAAAUAUCACAAUAAGCAAAGGGAGACAUCAGAACUGCAGCGAAGGGGUCAUGGUUCUAAGGACAGCUACAAACUAUGGCAAAGGCUUUCCUUUGCCCAAAAGAUGACGUGUGAGAGCAACUCAAGAAGAGCUGAUUUAAAAUUGUGUGUUAUGAAAAAAUAAAUAAAUAAAAAUUUAAAAAACAAAGUAAAAUUGUGUGUGAUGCUAAAGCCAGUCCCAUCUGAUUCGGUAAAAACAGCAGGACAUGGAUUCCAAGGGCUGCUUAGCAUCUGGCACCGUCAUGGGCUCCCCGCUCCACCCCCAGCGCCACUGCUUUACCUCAGCCAGCCGGUCUCCCAGAGCCUUGACCAUGAUGCUGCUGUAGUCAUCACACUCCUGCUCAUAGGCCUUGCUCAGCUCUUCCACCCCAAAGCAGGCAACGGCAAAGAGGCCCAGGUAGUCGCGGACGCCCGAAUGCAGGGGAGCAAUGAAGUCGGAGAGGCAGUGGUAGGGGUCUGUGCUGGCAGAGUCCUUCUCGGCCUUAAAACCCAAGGAGGGCACAGGUGGACCAUUAGCAUGAACAUGGCAACAACACACAGGGGACAG
Long non-coding RNA from Canis lupus familiaris (dog), 1909 nucleotides. RefSeq lists it as uncharacterized. NCBI's taxonomy places the organism in Eukaryota, Metazoa, Chordata, Mammalia, Carnivora, Canidae. The record is from RefSeq and is a predicted model, not a curated record. The transcript has 5 exons.